AGUGGGAUAACUGGGUCAAAUGGUGGUACCAUUUUAAGUUUUCUAAGAAAUCUCUAUACUGCUUUCCAGAGUCAUUGCACCAAUUUGAAGUCCCACUGGAAGU
RNAcentral lists this microRNA precursor (103 nucleotides) under Marmota monax (woodchuck). Lineage: Eukaryota; Metazoa; Chordata; Mammalia; Rodentia; Sciuridae. The record is from RNAcentral.